Molecule: non-coding RNA, 119 nt
Organism: Arenibacter nanhaiticus
Lineage: Bacteria; Pseudomonadati; Bacteroidota; Flavobacteriia; Flavobacteriales; Flavobacteriaceae
Source: Rfam
GAGGGUAGGCCCCUCGGAGUCAAUGUUCAGGCGUGGGCUUCAAACUGCCUUUAUGUUACUAGACUUAAAAGGUCUGGUGAGAAGCGAUAAAGGAAAAGGCAUCCAUACAGAUGUCAAGU